This 254-nucleotide ribosomal RNA is filed under the name uncultured prokaryote. RNAcentral's name for it is "partial 16S ribosomal RNA". It matches the Rfam family "Bacterial small subunit ribosomal RNA", at positions 524 to 777 of the family's 1533-position model. The record is from RNAcentral.
UACGGAGGAUGCAAGCGUUAUCCGGAUUCAUUGGGUUUAAAGGGUGCGCAGGCGGGCUUUUAAGUCAGUGGUGAAAAGCUGCCGCUUAACGGUAGUCUUGCCAUUGAUACUGAGAGUCUUGAGUUUGGAUGAGGUAGGCGGAAUGUGUAGUGUAGCGGUGAAAUGCAUAGAUAUUACACAGAACACCGAUUGCGAAGGCAGCUUACUAAUCCAUCAUUGACGCUGAGGCACGAAAGCGUGGGGAUCAAACAGGA